UUUGGCGUAUUCUGAACAUGAGUUUUAGAAGUACUUGGUAUAAUAAUGCUACAACCAUCAGGAUUUUGUUCACUAAGAGCCCUAGUCCAGCUGGAAUACUGCAGAAGUACAAGGUUGUCCAGUGAGCUGAAGCAAUACAUGCUGCUAUCUCAUAUUCUGGGACACAGAGCAGGAUGUCAGCAGCACUGCAAGAUACAGUUAAACAGACCCAAUCUACGGGAGGACAUCAUGCAGCCACAUCACUGUCCUGCAGAAUAGGAGAUAAUACUGUGAAUUGGAAAAGAGGCUGAGAUAAAAUCUCCUUUGACCUCUUGAUUGCAAAGGAAAUGGAUGGGAGACAUGUUUGGUGUUCCUAAUCAUCAGCGACGUGUUUUAUAGAGAUCCACUUCUGUAAGGACUUCUGUGCUGUGUCAAAUACAAGCAAAGAGGAAAAAACCAAUAUUUUCCCAAUUCCUUGUUUAAAAAGGUAAGGAGAAGGCCCCAGAGUCAUAAUCACUCCUUCCAAUCCUUUACAGAUGAUGUUAAGGCAUACAGAAAUGAAAGGACUCACCAAGAUUAUGCCACACAGUCAGGAUUUAAACUCAGAACUUCUGAAUCCAACCCCAGUGCCUGAACCACACAUUCAUUUUCUUCUCUGUAUUCCCCCAGAGUCUUAGGCCAUGUGGCCACUACUGGUGAAAUGAAAAACAGGUGCAGAUCCACAAACAGAUGGGAGACCAGCCCUGGCUGAUCUCUGGAGAUAAUACAGAGUUGUUUUCCGGCAAGGAGGAUUCCAAAGAACCACAGAGGCAGCACCCCUGCCCUAAAAGUGAAGCUGCCCUGCCUCACACUAAAUGUUAUCUUCAGCAGCCCAGCAAGUGGGAGUUUUGAGGCAUGGUCUGUUGUCUGUCAGCAAAGGACACUGCCUUACUGACCUCUCAGACUUGCAAUAUUGACAUGUCUGGUUUUCAGGCAUGCCUAUAAAGAUUGUAGAAGACUAAUUGCAAUUCCAUUCUUUGCAGUAACUGCAGCCAAUGUUUCUAAGUUGCUGAAACAUGACAUUUCUUCCCUAGAGUAGACAACUUUGGAAUGUCUAACCCUCAAAAAAUGCCAUUAGUCAUAUGCAGAAUCUUUCUCUGGGAAAAUAACUAGUGGUAUGGGACAAAUAACCCAGGUAAGAUGAAUAAUAUAUUUGUUCUGAAUCCAUAAGGACAGAUUUGCUUUUGAUUUCCAGUUCAUGGGGAGCUGAUGGCUUACUCCACAAUGCAUAGCUAAACAAAGAACUUGGACUGCUUUCUCAGGAGGAGGGAGAGUGAUAGUAGACAACUAACAGGGCAAUCACCUGGUCCUAAGCACAGGACAGAGUGCUAGGAUGCAAAAUACUUCCCUGCCUUGUGUGACCCACUGUUAUAGUCCCCCCAUGGUACGGGACACAUUUUCCCUCCGUGUGUCACCUGAGACAUCAGGCAGAGGUAUUAGAGAAGGCAUAGAAAUCCUUGUUUUCCUCAGAUCCACAGAACACAGAUCAAACCCAAGAGGAUAGCACG
Long non-coding RNA from Athene cunicularia (burrowing owl), 1526 nucleotides. RefSeq lists it as uncharacterized. Lineage: Eukaryota; Metazoa; Chordata; Aves; Strigiformes; Strigidae. The transcript has 4 exons. The record is from RefSeq and is a predicted model, not a curated record.